RNAcentral lists this unclassified non-coding RNA (3418 nucleotides) under Hevea brasiliensis (rubber tree). Lineage: Eukaryota; Viridiplantae; Streptophyta; Magnoliopsida; Malpighiales; Euphorbiaceae. The record is from RNAcentral.
AAUCAAAACAGAUUAACAAACGCUUGCAUCAGUUGUAAAAAUCACUUCUUUUGCAAUUUUUCUUUACUGGGUCUUCGUUUUUUGCGAUAUAAUAUCUAUGUUUUUAUACAAAUCGCUGGACAUCUAACUUUAUCCUCCUCCUCUUCUACUGUACAGUGUACACAGAGCAGCUACUUUCUCUCCUUUCCUUUCCUUUCCUUUUCCCCUUCUGAUUAUUUGCCAACAUUCUUUAUGCCCUCCUUACUCAUCUAAUCACUUUCUCUAUUCACACUUUAGAGAUGGAGACUAAGAUUCUAUUCUUCUCUUUCUUUCUUCUUCUCCUUGCCUUCUCUGCCUUUGCUCAGAUGCCAGGUUUUGUGAGUUUGGACUGUGGGGGCAAACAAAAUUUCACUGAUGAACUUGGACUUGUGUGGACUUCUGAUGAUAAUCUUAUUUAUGGAGAAACAGCAAUCAUAUCAGUUGCAAAUGAGACAAGGAAGCAAUAUAUGACACUGAGACAUUUCCCAGCAGAUUCCAGGAAGUACUGUUACACUCUAGGUGUCAUAAGUAGGUCAAGGUAUCUUUUAAGGGCAACAUUCUUGUAUGGUAAUUUUGACAACAACAAUGUCUAUCCCAAAUUUGAUAUCUCUUUUGGGGCAACUCAUUGGUCCACAAUUGUCAUUUCUGAUGCUAAUACCAUAGAGUCUAUAGAGCUGAUAUUUCUGGCUUCAAGCCCCACCAUCAGUGUAUGCUUAUCAAAUGCCACAACGGGGCAGCCAUUCAUAUCUACCCUUGAGCUCCGGCAAUUCAAUGGUUCAGUUUAUUAUACAGAUUAUGAGAACCAGUUUUAUCUCAGUGUUUCUGCAAGGAUCAAUUUUGGUGCAGAUAGUGAAGAUCCAGUUAGGUAUCCUGAUGACCCAUUUGAUAGAAUAUGGGAAUCUGACUCUGUGAAAAAAGCAAAUUACCUUGUUGAUGUUGCUGCUGGUACUCAGAAAGUUUCAACUGACAUGCCAAUAGAUGUUAGCAGUCAUGAAAGGCCUCCUGAGAAAGUGAUGCAGACUGCUGUAGUUGGUACAAAUGGAUCAUUAACCUAUCGGUUGAACUUAGAUGGUUUUCCUGGUUUUGGGUGGGCUGUCACGUACUUUGCAGAAAUUGAAGAUUUGAAGCCUACUGAGUCCAGGAAAUUCAGGCUUGUACUACCUGGCUACCCUGAAAUGAGCAAAGCUAUUGUUAAUAUCCAAGAAAAUGCUCAAGGAAAAUAUCGUCUCUAUCAACCAGGAUAUACCAACAUAUCUCUCCCCUUUGUAUUGUCUUUUAGAUUUGGAAAGACUUCUGAUUCUACCAAGGGACCACUCUUGAAUGCUAUGGAGAUAAAUAAGUAUCUAGAGAAACAUGAUGGUUCCCUUGAUGGUAAGUAGAAAUAUUCUUUCUUGAGUGCACAUGUGCCAUUUCAGCUGUGAACUGUAGCAUAAAGUUUGGUUGUGAACUGUGCUUUGAGGCGUAAGUUCAGCAUUUUGCCUAUGAAGUAUGGAGCAUAUUAUUGUCCGUAUCAUUUCAUACAUUAUUUGAACUCUUUGAAUUUAAUCAUAUCUGAUGUUAAAUUUGCUGUAGGGGAAGUUAUUGCUAGUGUCAUUUUGCCCUAUGCAUCAGCAGAUUGGGCACAGGAAGGUGGUGACCCCUGUCUACCAGUACCAUGGUCAUGGUUACAGUGUAAUUCAGAUGCACAACCAAGGAUAGUCAAAAUCUCCUUGUCUGGUAAGAAUUUGACUGGGAAUAUUCCUUCAAACAUGCCAAAGUUGAAUGGCUUAGUUGAACUAUGGCUUGAUAGGAAUUCACUAACUGGUCCAAUACCUGAUUUUAGUGGAUGUAGAGACUUGGAGAUCAUCCAUCUCGAGAACAAUCAGUUGACGGGUGAGCUUCCUUCCUCGUUACUGAACCUACCCAAUUUAAUGGAACUGUAUGUGCAAAAUAAUUUGUUAUCUGGAACAGUACCAUCAAGUCUUCUCAAUAAGAACAUAAUUUUCAACUACUCUGGAAAUCUUAAUCUUCAUGAAGGAGGCCAAAGAGGAAAACACGUUGAUAUUAUUAUUGGUUCAUCAGUUGGAACUGCUGUUCUGCUGAUAGCUACAAUAGCAUCUUGUUUAUUUAUACGAAGAGGAAAGAGAAGUCCUGAUCAAGAACGGCUCAGGGUUCCAGCACCUGUUCAAAGGCUAGUUUCUGCUUUUAAUGAUACUCCAGCAGAAGGUGCAUGUCGCUUCAAAUUCUCUGAGAUUGAAGAUGCUACAAAUAAGUUUGAGAAAAAAAUAGGUUCUGGAGGUUUUGGAGUUGUAUACUAUGGGAAAAUGAAAGAUGGAAAAGAAAUUGCAGUCAAAGUUCUAACUAGUAAUUCCUACCAGGGAAAGCGAGAAUUUUCAAAUGAGGUGACUCUUCUUUCAAGGAUACAUCACAGAAACCUGGUACAAUUUUUUGGAUUUUGCCAAGAAGAAGGGAGAAGUAUGCUUGUUUAUGAGUUCAUGCACAAUGGAACGCUCAAGGAACAUCUUUAUGGCCCAUUAACACGUGGAAAAAGUAUUAAUUGGAUCAAGCGCCUUGAGAUUGCUGAAGACGCUGCCAAAGGAAUUGAAUAUCUCCACCAGGGAUGCAAUCAAAGAAUCCUCCAUUUUGACAUAAAUCCACAUAAUAUCCUGCUUGACCACAAUUUCAAUCCCAAAAUCUCUGAUUUUGGCCAGGCUAAGUUGUGUUCUAGGGAUCAAAGUGCAGUGUCCUUGACAACAGCCAGAGGAACCAUUGGCUACAUCGCUCCUGAAGUCUUUUCAAGGAACUUUGGGAAUGUUUCCUGUAAAUCAGAUGUUUAUAGUUUUGGAAUGUUGGUGUUAGAAAUGGUUGGAGGAAGGAAAAACAUCGACGUUAACGUGGAGAAAACUAGCCAAGUCUUCUUCCCAGAGUGGAUAUAUAAUCAUUUGGAUCAAGGACAGGAGCUAAGAAUCCGGAUUGAGGAAGAAGGAGAUGCUAAAAUUGCAAGGAAACUCACAGUUGUUGGAUUAUGGUGCAUUCAAUGGUACCCUGCAGAUCGUCCCUCGAUGAAAGUUGUUGUUCAAAUGUUGGAAGGAGGAGAUGAUUUAACAAUGCCGCCUAAUCCUUUCGCCUCUGGAGGUCCAAUGAAGACUGAUGCAGGCAUGCGUGGGAAACGUCUGUACCAAGAGUUAGAAGUCAUCACUGAAGUGGAGUGAUCAAAAUCUCGUUGUUGUUGUCCUGUAUCUUGAGCAAAUUCUGGUUGCUGUUAUAGAUGUUCUCCAUUUGUCUACUAAAUGCUUGUUUAGGAAAGGUUAUUAAGGUUUCUGUAUAAUGUAAGCUUAGUAGGGUGCAAGAUUAUUAAGCUUCCUGUGUUGAUGUACGUUUGUUUAGUAGGAUGUAAUUAAGCAUAAUGAAAUAUAAUCGC